CAGUAGCCGCGGUAAAACCAGCACCUCGAGCGGUCAGGAGGUUUAUUGGGCCUAAGGCAUCCGUAGCCGGUUGCAUAAGUUUUCGGUUAAAUCUAUGCGCUUAACGUAUAGGCCGCCGAAAAUACUGUGCAGCUAGGGAGUGGGAGAGGUACACGGUACUCGAUAGGAAGGGGUAAAAUCCUUUGAUCUAUUGAUGACCACCUGUGGCGAAGGCGGUGUACCAGAACACGUUCGACGGUGAGGGAUGAAAGCUGGGGGAGCAAACCGGAUUAGAUACCCGAGUAGUCCCUGUCUCUUAUAC
RNAcentral lists this ribosomal RNA (301 nucleotides) under uncultured bacterium. RNAcentral describes it as "partial 16S ribosomal RNA". It matches the Rfam family "Archaeal small subunit ribosomal RNA", at positions 459 to 760 of the family's 1478-position model. The record is from RNAcentral.